GACUAACGCUGGCGGCGCGCCUAACACAUGCAAGUCGAACGGAGCUGAGAGAAGCUUGCUUUUCUUAGCUUAGUGGCGAACGGGUGAGUAACGCGUGAGUAACCUGCCCUGGAGUGGGGGACAACAGUUGGAAACGACUGCUAAUACCGCAUAAGCCCACGAUCCGGCAUCGGAUUGAGGGAAAAGGAUUUAUUCGCUUCAGGAUGGACUCGCGUCCAAUUAGCUAGUUGGUGAGGUAACGGCCCACCAAGGCGACGAUUGGUAGCCGGACUGAGAGGUUGAACGGCCACAUUGGGACUGAGACACGGCCCAGACUCCUACGGGAGGCAGCAGUGGGGGAUAUUGCACAAUGGGGGAAACCCUGAUGCAGCGACGCCGCGUGGAGGAAGAAGGUUUUCGGAUUGUAAACUCCUGUCGUUAGGGACGAUAAUGACGGUACCUAACAAGAAAGCACCGGCUAACUACGUG
Molecule: ribosomal RNA, 468 nt
Filed under: uncultured bacterium
Lineage: Bacteria
Description: partial 16S ribosomal RNA
Rfam family: Bacterial small subunit ribosomal RNA
Source: RNAcentral